This 527-nucleotide unclassified non-coding RNA is filed under the name Hevea brasiliensis (rubber tree). Lineage: Eukaryota; Viridiplantae; Streptophyta; Magnoliopsida; Malpighiales; Euphorbiaceae. The record is from RNAcentral.
UCCUUGUUCCGUGGAGGAGAGAGAAGAGACUGCCGUUGGGGAAAUAAUCAUAUACAAGCAAGCGUUCCUCCUUAGCCUGGAAAUAAGCCCUGAGUGGGACCAAGUUCGGAUGUCUUAACCUACCAAGCAGGUCCAUGUGUCUCCGAAACUCCUCUACCCUGGGAUAUCUCGAAUCUUUUAACCGUUUAACGGUCACAAUGAACCCAGACUCCAUCACAGCUUUAUAUGUGCUUCCUAUAGUACCUCUUCCCAGUGUCUCAGCUGAGGCCUUUAACAAAUCUUCUAAACUAUAACUCAUCUGCUGAUCUCCUGCACCCAAGAAUAUCAAAGUCCCUAACCCUUCUCCUUCCCAUGAAAAUACCCCUUGGGUUCCACCGUUAUUACCGCCCAUGCCACUUCCGCCACCUCCAUUUCCGCCGCUGACACCGCUAUUGUACCCCCGCCAACAACCCCUUUGGUUUUGCUUCUUCCCUCUCCGACGACUGAGCCCUCUUUUCUGCGGCGAUUCUUGCACACCAAACACACUA